Passer domesticus (house sparrow) is the source of this 812-nucleotide long non-coding RNA. RefSeq lists it as uncharacterized. The record is from RefSeq and is a predicted model, not a curated record. Lineage: Eukaryota; Metazoa; Chordata; Aves; Passeriformes; Passeridae. The transcript has 4 exons.
CAUGAGGGAACCAAUAGGUGAAGGUAAAGGAAGACUGACGUAACACAAAAGGUCCAAUGAGAAGCACAUGGGGGAGGGAGGAAGCCUUGAGGACAAAUCAGGAGCUAGACUGGGGAUGAGUGACAUAGAAGUCUCUCGAAAAAAAGAGGGGGGGUUAACAUGACAGACAGGGGCAGGAGGCAGCACCAUGGGGAUUGAUGUAACCAUAUAAGGGCUUAAGGGGAGGAACAAGGGACUCCUCACUUUGAUGGGCAGGCCAGUGGCGGGAAAAACGGGGAAAAACAACUUUGGAACAAACCAUUAUAGGGGGUUUACAUGGGGGGGAAAAGGAACAAACCAUUACUUAAACUAACAAAGAAUAAUUAAUAACAACUUCAACUUAUACUUUUUAAAACACUCAACGCCACAGAUAAUGUACAGAAAUAAAUCAUCAAUGUGUUACCUGUAUUGAGUAGAAAUGACAAGGGUUUGGCUGCUGUGAGGGGAGUAUAGGGCUGCCUGGUACUGAACAGAGCCAUUUCCAGCCUUCUCCGACAGAUCCACUUCAGGGCACAAUGUCAAACCACAAUGCUCGUAGAUAAACUGACAGUGUGAGCAGGUCUCAGGAAUGGAUGCACAAGUGCAAUGAGUCAUAAGGCAGCGAAGUGGCAGAUAUUCAUAAGGCCAAGAUCAAGUGCGGCUUUUCAGUAGAAUAAAGGAAAUGGACCUAACUAAAAUGAGCAGCAUAAGCAGUGCUCUGAGGGAAAAAUGUGGACUACAGGUGGAGAAUCCUGUACUUGCUCGUGGUAAAUUUCAUGCAGCUGGCAAUCACC